CUCCGCGCCGCCUGCGAGCGACGCCCACCUGUCUGCCCAGAUACCGCCCUUUCCAAGGAAAGACCUUUGUAGCCCGAAAGGUGACCAGGCCCCAGCCGUGGCGCCGCCGGGCACCCGGGCGCGCACCCUGCUCUAGAUUGCGUGGCCGGAGGGGCAGCUGCCUGGGAAGCCCCGAAGGCAGGGCGCGCUCGGGGCGGUGCCGGCUGCAACCGGGACCCGGCCGCGCAGGCCGCCUGCAGCCGGGAGAGGCGCCGAGCAGCUCCACCCAGCCAACCUAGCGCCUUUUAGGCACAGCUGGGGCAAGCUUGCCCUAGGGACCGCGUCGGGGGUGUCCGAGAGGGCGCGGCGGCUGGGUGCGCACCGCAUCAGCAAACUUAACCCGACGGGUCUGGGAGCAAGAUGGAUCGGAGGGAGAUUUCACUCCCCCGGUGCUGGAAGAAGUUGGCGAAUGGCGAAUGGUCGGACCUUAAAUUCCCAGGACGGGUCCCAGACACAUGGUCUGAGCGAGUGGGACAAAGCUGCCUAGUAGGGUUCAAGGAGCUGGGGGUUGGGGAGCGGGGAGAGAAAGUGUAGAGGAGGUUAGACUUGGAAGGAAAAAGAAUCCCAGAGCUCAGAGGUUGGGUAAAAGUUGUAUCUGGCCCCAAGUAAAACCCAGAAACCCAGGUGUGGUUUUAAACUGUAUCCUGGCCGACGCCACCGACAGAGGCGGGGAAACGCUGAGUUUGUAGGCUCUUGUAGCACUGAUGUUGAACUUGUUCUUAAGUUGGUUAAUAAUUCUAACGCAAGGCAAGCUGCUUGAGAGAUUUACACCUCUCCAUACCUAAGACCGAGAUACGCCCUGCGUUCCCGAAGGAUGGACAGACAGGUAAACGCUGGGGCUCUCAGUUUUUCAUAAAGACAAAGAUGAAUAAUUGCGGAUUGGAAAGUCAGCCUCCAAACCCUGCCUCAAAUACAGGCACACAAUUCCCCAGUCAGUGGUUCCCAAAGGGGCUUUGAACGUGUACUAGCAUCCGCUGGGAGGGCUGGUUACAAUACCGAUUUCAGGGCCCUCAGAAUUUUCCGCAGAACAAAAGGGGUGCCUAAGAAUUCGCAUUUCUACUAAUAAGUUCCCAGAUGGUGUUGGGACCACACUGCCCUAAGCCAUUGGUUCUCAAAUUUGGCUGAACAGUGCAAUCGCUUGGGAUAUUUUAAAAAAUAUUUCUGCUUGGGACCUAACCCCCCCCCCCAAAUUCUAACUCCAUUGAUCAGGUGCAUCGGGAUUUUCAGUCUCUUUAGGUGAUUCCAAUAUAGAGCGAAGUUUGAAUACCGCUCCCCUAAGUCAUUUAUUGCCCCAAGACAGCUUGUUUUGGGGGGUGCGGGGUGGAGAGGACAAGGACCUUUUCUUACCCUGCUCUUGGAGAUUCUGCCAGCAUUGGAUCUAACUUCCCAGUCCUGGGAAAGAAAAGUCCCUCCCCUUCCCAUGUGGACUGUUUUUAUUAACCAUACAGGAAUUAUAAAGGAUGGAACAAUUCCCCCAAGGCCUUAAAAACGCAUAGGAUACUUUAACAUUGAUCAUUCUGCCUGCCGGGGCUCAGGGAUAUCCCGUUAGGAGCCAAAGUGAUCUCUCAGGGUUAGUGAUUGCUAGCUUUUCAGACUAACAUCGUGGAGACCAAGAGUCCCAAAUCCAAGUGCCUGUGGACACAAAUUCACCAAAUGGUGCCCUGCUACAUUAAUGUGGGUUGCAGGGGAAAUCACUCCCUUGACUAGGAGAGUGGGAGUGGGAGGAGUGGUAUUGGACUUGAGGAUCACCUUCGCACAAGCCCAAACUCUGCAUUGUAUUAAUAAGUCAUGAGUUACUGAUAGAAGACUGGAAAAGUCUUCGCGUCGGAAGGGAAAUGGGGAGGGUGGGGUGACAGUGGGAAAGGUUGCUCUUUUUGCCCUUCCGAGGGUGACACAAGAGGCAGGGACACCUCCACCCCAGAGGAAGCCCCCAGAGGUACUCCGCUGGACACAGAUGGGUUUGGUUGCCUGAAGGGUUUCCCAUCUCCCUCUAGACGAGCCAGGAAUGGAGAUAAUCCAAAAGGACUGGAUGCCCACAGGGAUUGCUUAUAACUUCCCAACACUUCCCCCCCCCGCCCCCCUCCCUCCCAGCCGUGGCCACUUUCCAGACCAUUUGGUCAAUAUUGCCAGAGCACCCUUAAGGACACCCUCUUCAGCGACGAAUUGUGGGGGGGGACACCAUGGGGAUUAGAGGGAGCAAAACCCUCCCCCACUGGUUAGGAAUUACUGAAGACUAUCUUGUGGGCCCUUCCGUGCCCCAACAGGGAGGGAAAUCAAGAUGGACCUCCUAGUUUCCAAGAACUCACUGUUUUCCCUUUCUGCCCAUCUGUGGGGGUUGGGGGAUACGGCAUCUUCAGAGACCCCAGAAAAGAAGGCAUCCUGUCGGAGACUGCAAAUGAGUGGAUUCCAAAGAGCAAAGAGAGAUUUGAUGCUCUGUGGAACCCAGUCCUGGGCAGGGCUCCCCUGUCACACUCGGGGGCCAGCACUGGGGCUACCGUCUGUCUCUCUCGGCCUGGAGAGACCCUGCCUGUCCUAGCGAUUUACUCUGGAAGAGUUGGGAGAGUUCCCCCUUCCCUUUGCUCUCCCUGCUCCCCCCACCCCCAAGCGCGCAUACCUACGCGAGCGCGCGCGUACACACACACACACACACACACACACACACACACACACACACCACACCUCGCGGUUCUUCGCUAGGGUUUCCCUCCAGGGCAGAUUACUUUAUGACAGGGUGUGAUAAGUGGUGAUUUUGUUCCUCUUUUGAUGGCAGGAUUGCUUUGUAAACAGAAGCGCAAACUCGUUCCGAUAGUGGUUCCGCACCGCUGAGCGGCGGCCGCCCUGGCACAGCGGGCGGCGGAGGCUGCCACUGCACCUGUCGCCUGGGGCCUGGAGGAACCGGGGCCACGCGUGGAGGGGUCACGGGCCUAUGGCCUCCAGGGCAUGUCUAGGGUUUUGGCCUCUGGGCCACCUGUCUUACUGCCCCCUUGGGGCCUUCUGUAUCCACAGCUCCAAGAACUCCCAGUUCCAAGUGCAAGCCUUGGAGGCGCUUAGGUGAGCACACCUCAGGGUCACAGUUCCUCUCUUCUGCACUCUCCUUGGGCGCCUUUGGUAAGAGGUUUGGCUUCUUUCUUC
Molecule: long non-coding RNA, 3171 nt
Filed under: Lynx pardinus (Iberian lynx)
Lineage: Eukaryota; Metazoa; Chordata; Mammalia; Carnivora; Felidae
Source: RNAcentral